RNAcentral lists this long non-coding RNA (410 nucleotides) under Eucalyptus grandis. Its description in RNAcentral is "long non-coding RNA (EGRA_LNC007211)". Lineage: Eukaryota; Viridiplantae; Streptophyta; Magnoliopsida; Myrtales; Myrtaceae. The record is from RNAcentral.
GUACGUUAAGUAGACAUAGAAAAUGAUUAGUCUUUAUGAGGUAAUUGUUUGGACAAAAACUCUCUUGAUAAUAGGAAAUUUUCUGGUAAUUAACCUUAAUGAACUGGUCAUUGAGGGCAUGUAAGUAAUAAAACUAGGAUAACAGAAGGCAGUGGUAUUAUCAUCAACAACUAUAAGGGAACUUGUGGAGCCAAGUCAUACCAAAUUAGGAGAUUGACUUUGAGUGAUACAUUUUGUGGCUCACUGUUUACUUGAAAGGGAUAGUCAUGCCAUUGACCCGAGAAAAAGAAUCAAUUAGCAGUAUUUGGUGGCCACACAUUGCUUUUGCAUUUUUGGUUCGUGGAAAUUUAAUUUUUUCGGCCUCUGUAAUUAGUUCCAAUUAAAUAUGCCGCCAAACUAGAUAAAGGAAA